This 265-nucleotide unclassified non-coding RNA is filed under the name Hevea brasiliensis (rubber tree). The record is from RNAcentral. Lineage: Eukaryota; Viridiplantae; Streptophyta; Magnoliopsida; Malpighiales; Euphorbiaceae.
AAAUCUUGAGGAAACCAUUGCGCCGCAGUUCCCCGCGACGAUAACGCGCUUCCGCGCCACCAUGACCACCUACGUGCAGGCACUUGUCGAUGCCGGAUAUAUCGAGGGUGACGUCCGGACAUUGGGCGAGACGUUCUUCUCUGCCGCGCACGGUAUCGUCAUGAUGCAUAUGAGCGGCCUGUUGCGGACGGUCCGCGAGCGGGAUGACCAGCAUCUUGCCUCCAUGCGCCUCAUCGCCAGGGGGGCGGGUAUGUCGGAUGUUUCG